UGUAAUGAAUUUCCUACAAUAUGAGUGCACCAGAUCCUAUUAUAACUCCACAAUUAAGCGUUCUUAGGCUAGAUUAGUACUGUGAUGGGUGACCUUCUGCGAUGUCCUAGUAUUUGACAUGC
Molecule: non-coding RNA, 122 nt
Organism: Picea glauca (white spruce)
Lineage: Eukaryota; Viridiplantae; Streptophyta; Pinopsida; Pinales; Pinaceae
Source: Rfam